UUAUCCUUAUUGUAAUUGUAUUCAUAGAGUUUUGAAAAAUUAGAUUAAACAAGUUUCCAACUCAAAGAUUUCUUGUAGCAAAAAUGACAUGAACUAAAUUUUGUACAAGAGACUAUAAAAGUUUGCAACCUAAUACUUAUAAUGUGUGUAUCAACUGUUGAUAUUAUUAUAUCAUAGUGACCUUGUAAGGUUUAGUCGCAUGCUGAGAUUGCUUUAGAUUCUGUAUCUUCUGUUUAGUUAGAGAACUUGCAGUAUCCAUGCCCAUCCUCUUAGCAACUUCCUCCUUCGCUAAAUUCACUGCUUUGUCAUAUGCCUUGAUUAAAGCGCUGUCAUCCCAAACAUCUUCGCUAUCUGUAGUUGUAGUCUUGAGAAAGAGUAAAAAAACAAGAAAUAUUAUAAAUAGACUAUUCAUAGUACUGUUGGUACCGGUACAUUAGUAUUAUAUUAAUUAACUGGCACACUAAAUAAACAUUUGGAGCAUAUACAUACAUUUCCGUUUCCUCGGACGUAAAGAACAUCAGCAGCAUCAUCAUCCAUUUCACUUAAUCGCAUAUAAGAGAAUGAAAAGGAAUAUAAUAACCACACUUGUGAGAUUUAUGUUUCUAUCCUGUCAAUAGAGAUCAUCCAAAGCUACUUAAUUUUGAUCACAGUGAAACUGUGUAAUCGCUAUUGCCAUCAGUUACUACAAUAAACAGAGAUUAAACUAUCAUUUUUUAGUUUUACGUGCGGAAACAAGUUAGUUGCUGUUCUGAGACUUCUUUUAUGUUUACAAUAGUACCUCACCAUAGUACGCCAAGACUGAAUAGGCAGAUAGAGAAACUGCUUGUCCUUUUUUACGAUUGGUUUGAUGCUUCACAGCUAAACAGUGCUGCCCUCGCACUGUUAGGCAAAGAGAGAAAGUGGUGAGUAAGCAAGAGAGCAUGACAUCACAAGCGAAACAAAUCAUACCGACGACCAAUGUAGCUUGUUUCACUUUACAUUCUUGCGAUCUCACUCUAUUUGCGAACGUCUUGAAACGACAAUCAUUUCUACAAUUAUUAAAAUUUUUGAAAACCCAUAAGUUACAUUCGUAGCUAAUGGUUUCUAGUUUAUGAAACUACAGAAUUUUUUAAUUUAGCCAUUCCAGCACUUGUCAACCGCGGCCAACAAUUAAUAUUCUAUUCUACGAGAAGGAGUUUUGUAAGCAACUAGGAAUAUAAGAAAAUAUUUGUGGGCUGGAUAACAUAGGAAAUGCAGAGGAUCCUGUGGAACACAGGAGGUUGUUGUUGCUUCUAUGGUUCGAUCAGAAAAGGCGAAUAAUCAAUGCGUCUUUGCGAUAUCGAAGCAACUUGGCUGAGAAGACCACCACCGCCAUUCCCAUCUUGCGCACUUCCCAGCCCGAGAUUUGGAUUUGUGACCUGCCGGCCUAGCGGACCCGGGGCAGAGUUCGAAAUUAUUCGAAUUGUUUCAAAUAAAUAUUUCAGUAAUAUAAUUGUCCGAAUGAA
This is a long non-coding RNA of Megalopta genalis, 1484 nucleotides long. RefSeq lists it as uncharacterized. Lineage: Eukaryota; Metazoa; Arthropoda; Insecta; Hymenoptera; Halictidae. The record is from RefSeq and is a predicted model, not a curated record.